GGGUGUGAUCAUACCAGCCCGAAUGCAGCGGAUCCCAUCAGAAUUCCGCAGUUAAACGUGCUUGGGCGAGAGUAGUACCAGGAUGGGUGACCUCUUAGGUAGUCCUCGUGUUUCACCCC
RNAcentral lists this ribosomal RNA (119 nucleotides) under Beta vulgaris subsp. vulgaris (sugar beet). Lineage: Eukaryota; Viridiplantae; Streptophyta; Magnoliopsida; Caryophyllales; Amaranthaceae. The record is from RNAcentral.